RNAcentral lists this small nucleolar RNA (78 nucleotides) under Olea europaea subsp. europaea. Its description in RNAcentral is "Small nucleolar RNA R21". It matches the Rfam family "Small nucleolar RNA R21". From Rfam's summary of the family: snoR21 is a member of the C/D class of snoRNA which contain the C (UGAUGA) and D (CUGA) box motifs. Most of the members of the box C/D family function in directing site-specific 2'-O-methylation of substrate RNAs. The record is from Rfam by way of RNAcentral. Lineage: Eukaryota; Viridiplantae; Streptophyta; Magnoliopsida; Lamiales; Oleaceae.
UAUCCCAGUGAAGAACGUAAGAUUGAAAUAAAAGUAGUGGCCUGAUUGAGUUUGAUGAAAAUAUUGUUCUGAGGGAUA